GCCGGGGUGGCGGAGUGGUUAUCGCGCUAGCCUCGAGAGCUAGUGGGCUUCGUGCUCGCAGGGGUUCGAAUCCCUUCCCCGGCGCCA
RNAcentral lists this transfer RNA (87 nucleotides) under Candidatus Bathyarchaeota archaeon. RNAcentral describes it as "tRNA-Ser". It matches the Rfam family "tRNA". Rfam says of the family: Transfer RNA (tRNA) molecules are approximately 80 nucleotides in length. Their secondary structure includes four short double-helical elements and three loops (D, anti-codon, and T loops). Further hydrogen bonds mediate the characteristic L-shaped molecular structure. tRNAs have two regions of fundamental functional importance: the anti-codon, which is responsible for specific mRNA codon recognition, and the 3' end, to which the tRNAs corresponding amino acid is attached (by aminoacyl-tRNA synthetases). tRNAs cope with the degeneracy of the genetic code in two manners: having more than one tRNA (with a specific anti-codon) for a particular amino acid; and 'wobble' base-pairing, i.e. permitting non-standard base-pairing at the 3rd anti-codon position. The record is from RNAcentral. Lineage: Archaea; Thermoproteati; Candidatus Bathyarchaeota. RNAcentral also lists the same sequence under 1 other name.